ACGAACGCUGGCGGCGUGCCUAAUACAUGCAAGUCGAGCGGACUGAUUAAGAGCUUGCUCUUAUGACGUUAGCGGCGGACGGGUGAGUAACACGUGGGCAACCUGCCCUGUAGAUCGGGAUAACACCGAGAAAUCGGUGCUAAUACCGGGUAAUAUCUGAGAUCACAUGAUCUUAGGUUAAAAGAUGGCUCCGGCUAUCACUACAGGAUGGGCCCGCGGCGCAUUAGCUAGUUGGUAAGGUAAUGGCUUACCAAGGCGACGAUGCGUAGCCGACCUGAGAGGGUGAUCGGCCACACUGGGACUGAGACACGGCCCAGACUCCUACGGGAGGCAGCAGUAGGGAAUCUCCCGCAAUGGACGAAAGUCUGACGGAGCAACGCCGCGUGAGUGAUGAAGGGUUUCGGCGCGUAAAGCUCUGUUGUUAGGGAAGAAACAGUACCGAACGAACUAGGUCGGUACCUUGACGGUACCUAACCAGAAAGCCACGGCUAACUACGUG
Molecule: ribosomal RNA, 499 nt
Filed under: uncultured bacterium
Lineage: Bacteria
Description: partial 16S ribosomal RNA
Rfam family: Bacterial small subunit ribosomal RNA
Source: RNAcentral